RNAcentral lists this ribosomal RNA (253 nucleotides) under uncultured bacterium. Its description in RNAcentral is "partial 16S ribosomal RNA". It matches the Rfam family "Bacterial small subunit ribosomal RNA", at positions 524 to 776 of the family's 1533-position model. The record is from RNAcentral.
UACGGAGGGUGCAAGCGUUAUCCGGAUUUACUGGGUUUAAAGGGUGCGCAGGCGGAUAUGUAAGUCAGUGGUGAAAUCUCUAGGCUUAACCUGGAAAUUGCCGUUGAUACUAUUUGUCUUGAAUACUGUGGAGGUCAGCGGAAUAUGUCAUGUAGCGGUGAAAUGCUUAGAUAUGACAUAGAACACCAAUUGCGAAGGCAGCUGGCUACACAAAUAUUGACACUGAGGCACGAAAGCGUGGGGAUCAAACAGG